GACGAACGCUGGCGGCGUGCUUAACACAUGCAAGUCGAACGGAAAGGCCCUGCUUUUGUGGGGUGCUCGAGUGGCGAACGGGUGAGUAACACGUGAGUAACCUGCCCUUGACUUUGGGAUAACUUCAGGAAACUGGGGCUAAUACCGGAUAGGAGCUCCUGCUGCAUGGUGGGGGUUGGAAAGUUUCGGCGGUUGGGGAUGGACUCGCGGCUUAUCAGCUUGUUGGUGGGGUAGUGGCUUACCAAGGCUUUGACGGGUAGCCGGCCUGAGAGGGUGACCGGCCACAUUGGGACUGAGAUACGGCCCAGACUCCUACGGGAGGCAGCAGUGGGCAAUAUUGCACAAUGGGCGGAAGCCUGAUGCAGCAACGCCGCGUGCGGGAUGACGGCCUUCGGGUUGUAAACCGCUUUCGCCUGUGACGAAGCGUGAGUGACGGUAAUGGGUAAAGAAGCACCGGCUAACUACGUG
This 468-nucleotide ribosomal RNA is filed under the name uncultured bacterium. Its description in RNAcentral is "partial 16S ribosomal RNA". It matches the Rfam family "Bacterial small subunit ribosomal RNA", at positions 28 to 507 of the family's 1533-position model. The record is from RNAcentral.